CACUAUCGUUAACUGAAUACAUAGGUUAACGAGGCGAACCGGGGGAACUGAAACAUCUAAGUACCCCGAGGAAAAGAAAUCAACCGAGAUUCCCCCAGUAGCGGCGAGCGAACGGGGAGCAGCCCGGAGUCUGAAUCAGCUUGUGUGUUAGUGGAACGGUCUGGAAAGUCCGACGGUACAGGGUGAUAGUCCCGUACACGAAAAUGCACAUGCUGUGAACUCGAAGAGUAGGGCGGGACACGUGGUAUCCUGUCUGAAUAUGGGGGGACCAUCCUCCAAGGCUAAAUACUCCUGACUGACCGAUAGUGAACCAGUACCGUGAGGGAAAGGCGAAAAGAACCCCGGCGAGGGGAGUGAAAAAGAACCUGAAACCGUGUACGUACAAGCAGUAGGAGCCCCACCACCAAAGCGUUUCGCUUUGCGUGGUGCGCAAAAUGCGUAACGACAGCAUGAUGGACGGUUAACGGAGCGUCAGCGACGUUCAACGUCAAAAAUCAGGCAGUGGAGCGUUUUGGGGUGGGGUGACUGCGUACCUUUUGUAUAAUGGGUCAGCGACUUAUAUUCUGUAGCAAGGUUAACCGUAUAGGGGAGCCGAAGGGAAACCGAGUCUUAACUGGGCGUUAAGUUGCAGGGUAUAGACCCGAAACCCGGUGAUCUAGCCAUGGGCAGGUUGAAGGUUGGGUAACACUAACUGGAGGACCGAACCGACUAAUGUUGAAAAAUUAGCGGAUGACUUGUGGCUGGGGGUGAAAGGCCAAUCAAACCGGGAGAUAGCUGGUUCUCCCCGAAAGCUAUUUAGGUAGCGCCUCGUGAACUCAUCUUCGGGGGUAGAGCACUGUUUCGGCUAGGGGGCCAUCCCGGCUUACCAACCCGAUGCAAACUACGAAUACCGAAGAAUGUUAUCACGGGAGACACACGGCGGGUGCUAACGUCCGUCGUGAAGAGGGAAACAACCCAGACCGCCAGCUAAGGUCCCAAAGUCAUGGUUAAGUGGGAAACGAUGUGGGAAGGCACAGACAGCCAGGAUGUUGGCUUAGAAGCAGCCAUCAUUUAAAGAAAGCGUAAUAGCUCACUGGUCGAGUCGGCCUGCGCGGAAGAUGUAACGGGGCUAAACCAUGCACCGAAGCUGCGGCAGCGACACUAUGUGUUGUUGGGUAGGGGAGCGUUCUGUAAGCCGUUGAAGGUGGCCUGUGAGGGUUGCUGGAGGUAUCAGAAGUGCGAAUGCUGACAUAAGUAACGAUAAAGCGGGUGAAAAGCCCGCUCGCCGGAAGACCAAGGGUUCCUGUCCAACGUUAAUCGGGGCAGGGUGAGUCGACCCCUAAGGCGAGGCCGAAAGGCGUAGUCGAUGGGAAACAGGUUAAUAUUCCUGUACUUGGUGUUACUGCGAAGGGGGGACGGAGAAGGCUAUGUUGGCCGGGCGACGGUUGUCCCGGUUUAAGCAUGUAGGCGGAUGUUCCAGGUAAAUCCGGAGCGUCACUAACGCUGAGGUGUGAUGACGAGGCACUACGGUGCUGAAGUGACAAAUGCCCUGCUUCCAGGAAAAGCCUCUAAGCAUCAGGUAACAUCAAAUCGUACCCCAAACCGACACAGGUGGUCAGGUAGAGAAUACCAAGGCGCUUGAGAGAACUCGGGUGAAGGAACUAGGCAAAAUGGUGCCGUAACUUC
Molecule: ribosomal RNA, 1665 nt
Filed under: Enterobacter sp.
Lineage: Bacteria; Pseudomonadati; Pseudomonadota; Gammaproteobacteria; Enterobacterales; Enterobacteriaceae
Description: partial 23S ribosomal RNA
Rfam family: Bacterial large subunit ribosomal RNA
Source: RNAcentral